CAAAGGCUUGGUCCUGACUUUACUAUCAGCUCUAACUGAACUUACACAUGCAAGUCUCCGCAUUCCUGUGAGGAUGCCCUUAAUCCCUGCCGGGACGAGGAGCCGGCAUCAGGCACGCCCAAGCAGCCCAAGACGCCUUGCUAAGCCACACCCCCAAGGAAACCCAGCAGUGAUAAAUAUUAAGCCAUAAGCGAAAGCUUGACUUAGUUAAAGUUAAGAGGGCCGGUAAAACUCGUGCCAGCCACCGCGGUUAUACGAGAGGCCCUAGUUGAUAACUACCGGCGUAAAGAGUGGUUACGGAAAAAUAUUUAAUAAAGCCGAACACCCCCUCAGCCGUCAUACGCACCUGGGGGCACGAAGAUCUACUACGAAAGCAGCUUUAAUUAUACCUGAACCCACGACAGCUACGACACAAACUGGGAUUAGAUACCCCACUAUGCCUAGCCGUAAACUUUGAUGGAAACAUACAACUGACAUCCGCCAGGGGACUAUAAGCGCCAGCUUAAAACCCAAAGGACUUGGCGGUGCCUCAGACCCACCUAGAGGAGCCUGUUCUAGAACCGAUAACCCCCGUUCAACCUCACCACCUCUUGUUUUCCCCGCCUAUAUACCACCGUCGUCAGCUUACCCUGUGAAGGCCUUAUAGUAAGCAAAAUGGGCAAAACCCAAAACGUCAGUCGGAGGUGUAGCGCAUGGGGUGGGAAGAAAUGGGCUACAUUCUCUAAAUUAGAGCACUACGAACCACGCUGUGAAACCAGCGUCCAAAGGUGGAUUUAGCAGUAAAUAGAAAAUAGAGAGUUCUCUUGAAACUGGCUCUGAGGCGCGCACACACCGCCCGUCACUCUCCCCAAGUUCAAUUAACCCUUCUAACUAAGAAAUUAACCGAACAAANNAAGGGGAGGCAAGUCGUAACAUGGUAAGUGUACCGGAAGGUGCACUUGGAAUAAC
Molecule: non-coding RNA, 948 nt
Filed under: Salmo salar (Atlantic salmon)
Lineage: Eukaryota; Metazoa; Chordata; Actinopteri; Salmoniformes; Salmonidae
Description: mt SSU rrNA
Rfam family: Bacterial small subunit ribosomal RNA
Source: RNAcentral